AUUGAACGCUUGCGGCAUGCCUUACACAUGCAAGUCGAACGGCAGCACGGAGCUUGCUCUGGUGGCGAGUGGCGAACGGGUGAGUAAUAUAUCGGAACGUACCCAGGAGUGGGGGAUAACGUAGCGAAAGUUACGCUAAUACCGCAUACGUCCUAAGGGAGAAAGUGGGGGAUUCGCAAGAACCUCAUGCUCAUGGAGCGGCCGAUAUCUGAUUAGCUAGUUGGUAGGGUAAAAGCCUACCAAGGCAACGAUCAGUAGCUGGUCUGAGAGGACGACCAGCCACACUGGAACUGAGACACGGUCCAGACUCCUACGGGAGGCAGCAGUGGGGAAUUUUGGACAAUGGGCGCAAGCCUGAUCCAGCAAUGCCGCGUGAGUGAAGAAGGCCUUCGGGUUGUAAAGCUCUUUCGUCAGGGAAGAAAAGGGAUUGGCUAAUAUCUGGUCCUCAUGACGGUACCUGAAGAAUAAGCACCGGCUAACUACGUGCCAGCAGCCGCGGUAAUACGUAGGGUGCAAGCGUUAAUCGGAAUUACUGGGCGUAAAGCGUGCGCAGGCGGUUUUGUAAGACUGUCGUGAAAUCCCCGGGCUCAACCUGGGAAUGGCGAUGGUGACUGCAAGGCUAGAGUUUGGCAGAGGGGGGUAGAAUUCCACGUGUAGCAGUGAAAUGCGUAGAUAUGUGGAGGAACACCGAUGGCGAAGGCAGCCCCCUGGGUCAAAACUGACGCUCAUGCACGAAAGCGUGGGGAGCAAACAGGAUUAGAUACCCUGGUAGUCCACGCCCUAAACGAUGUCUACUAGUUGUCGGGUCUUAAUUGACUUGGUAACGCAGCUAACGCGUGAAGUAGACCGCCUGGGGAGUACGGUCGCAAGAUUAAAACUCAAAGGAAUUGACGGGGACCCGCACAAGCGGUGGAUGAUGUGGAUUAAUUCGAUGCAACGCGAAAAACCUUACCUACCCUUGACAUGGAUGGAAUCUUCGAGAGAUUGAAGAGUGCCCGAAAGGGAACCAUUACACAGGUGCUGCAUGGCUGUCGUCAGCUCGUGUCGUGAGAUGUUGGGUUAAGUCCCGCAACGAGCGCAACCCUUGUCAUUAGUUGCUACGCAAGAGCACUCUAAUGAGACUGCCGGUGACAAACCGGAGGAAGGUGGGGAUGACGUCAAGUCCUCAUGGCCCUUAUGGGUAGGGCUUCACACGUCAUACAAUGGUACAUACAGAGCGCCGCCAACCCGCGAGGGGGAGCUAAUCGCAGAAAGUGUAUCGUAGUCCGGAUUGUAGUCUGCAACUCGACUGCAUGAAGUUGGAAUCGCUAGUAAUCGCGGAUCAGCAUGUCGCGGUGAAUACGUUCCCGGGUCU
Molecule: ribosomal RNA, 1354 nt
Filed under: uncultured bacterium
Lineage: Bacteria
Description: bacterial SSU rRNA
Rfam family: Bacterial small subunit ribosomal RNA
Source: RNAcentral